GAGGGAUUCGAACCCUCGGUAAACAAAAGCCUACAUAGCAUUUCCAAU
Molecule: transfer RNA, 48 nt
Filed under: Stereodon callichrous
Lineage: Eukaryota; Viridiplantae; Streptophyta; Bryopsida; Hypnales; Stereodontaceae
Description: partial tRNA-Ser
Source: RNAcentral